UUAGACCGUUUUACGAGCGAGGCUGAAUUAAAAAGAUCAUAAACACGGAUCUGAAAAGUGGCGGCGUAUUAAUAUAAUAAUAUGUAGAAGUAUAGACGUACAAAAGUUAUAAAUGCAUAUUUUAAUGAAUGGACCCACCGUGCCGAGCCAGGCCUAUAGCUAGUUAUACGUAUAGAGUUGCUUCGUGACUUAACAACAACCAUAGAGUAGAACUGACAGAACUCAAAGCUCUAUUUAUUUUCAUUAUAAAUCAAGGCAAUAUAAUUUUACUAACAUCAACAUAAUGCCUUUUUGAAGAGCUACUUUCAGGUAUGAUGACAAUUUAUUCAAAUGUAAAUGCCAAACAAAAAGUGAGAUAGAAGAAAUUUAACAACAUCUGAUUACUACUGAUGAGCUUGUUGAUUUGUUUAGGCUAAUGUGUUUUGUCGAGUACUAAUUCGUAGUAAUUAUACAGUCCGACUUUAAGCUGUCGUUAAUCAGACCGCUGAGUUUCGAUCUGCGCGGCGAGUCGCGAUUCCAAUCCGGUAGCAGAUUCAUUCGGAAAAUAGCCACCCUCGAGCUAUUAGGCUCCUUCGGAAGCUGUUAGUAAGUCCCACACCUCCUGGCUGAGCUUAUGCUCGUCCAUCUGUCCUUGUGAAACCGGAAAGAACUCCGGACCACAUGUAAAGCCUCCCUCCAAAAAAAUUUCACUAAGGGUACAAGUUCCAUUAUUCCAAAUAGAUGUACCUACGGAUCUAUAAGCUUGAUAUUAUAAUAUGUUUUAAAAUUUGCCUCAGAUUAUUGUAUUUGAAAACAAGCUUCAAAAUUUUACUAUAACUGCUUAUUUAUUGCGUCAGUUUCCAAAAACAUAUAUAGAUCUACCUGCUUAGUUCAUAGGAUUUUAUUGAAGUUCUUUUGCUCUAUUAUUGUCACUUCUGAUUCUGUCUGGUGUUUGUCGAUUGCUUAUUGUCCAAUGGGAGCCCGUUUUGUGGAAUGCGCGGCUUUUCCCAGAACUUCGUCGCAAGCCAGGAGACGGGACCACUUGUUCGAAGUACUUUCACGUACAAAAAGAAUUCUCCGGUGCCGCGAGUGGUCCGCGAACACGCCACGAAAGCCAUCUCGACGAGAUUUCGAAAUUCCAAGAAAGGCAAAGCCUUAUAAAUUAUCUCAAAAGCGCCGACGCGGCCCUGCAGCCAGAAUGCUUUUUUAUAACACAGGUAGGCUGGCGCUAAGAAGGCAAUGGAAUGCAUGUAUAUUAUGCCGCUUCAACGAGUUUGAUAUUUGAAACUAUUUUCAAUUUAUAAUUACAAUUUUUAACUAUAUCGUGCGAUUAUGUGAAGUUUCAGUGUUGUGUAUUUAUAUUUGAUGAAUGAUAAUUUGAAUUUGAAUUUAAUAAAAUUGGUAUUUUAUUUUACAUACGAAAAUCAACUUGGAACCCGUAACAUUACAUACAUACGUAAUAUACAAAAAUCAACUAAUGAUUUUGAUAAAAAAAUUUAUUAAAUCACAACUAAAGUAUCAAUAUAUUUUCGUUUCACAUUGUGAGUAUUCGAUCCUAUAAACGUAGUGCACUCUAGAAAAAAAUGUGCGUGGUACACGCGUGCAGCACGAUUCCUGGAAGAUAGCGAUGCUGGUUAAAAUUCCACAGUCUCGUAUCCCCGAAGGUCGUGUUCAAUAAUAAGAAUAGACCAUUGAAUAGCUUUGGCGCCAACGCGAGGAGACCACCAUUCGUUCGGGAAUAAUUUAAACUUUUAAUAUUGUGAUGGGCAACAGUUUUUUCAGUAUGUAAGUAAGUCGUUUUGAAUACGUGGUUUAAUGGGGCUGAUCCUUGGCUAUCAAGAUUUCAUUGGUACAGCAUAAUGUGUAUUAGGAUUGUGUGUAUUGCGGUAGGCAGCGGCUUGGCUCUGCCCCUGGCAUUGCUGAAGUCCAUGGGCAACGGUAACCACUCACCAUCAGGUGGGCCGUAUGCUCGUCUGCCUACAAGGGCAAUAAAAAAAAAAAGGAAUUAAUUUGUAUUAUAUUCAACCAGUGUUAGGAUUUUACCGCAGAGUUCAUUGUUUAACCAGUUUAACGGCAGAAUACCAAAUGGUCUAAAAUAAGAUCUUCUUGUUAAUAAAAGUUAAGUAACUUGUUAAAAUAAUCGUAUCAAAGAAUCGAAAUGCCGCACACUUCAAUACUUGUAGCAUCUAUAAAUCUAUAAAGCAUCUGCUAGAGCCAGUAGACAUUAAAGCUACAUUGCGGAGCUCUAAGAAACAACGGCUCUUUGGGUCAUUGCGAUCGUAGACUUUGGACUCUAUUAUCACAGGCGUUCAGUUGAAAUUCCUCUGAGGCACUAUUCCUUGUGAUGGUGUGCCGUGGAAUUUGGGCCACGAAGCUGACUCAACGGCGAUCUAGUCCCUUCGCCGUCUCGGAUGUAAUCUAACUAGCGAGAGACUGCGCAGUUGGAAUGAACUCACAUCGACUCGUCGGAAGCCGUACGGCAUUGCCAAAUUUGAGCGUGUGACAUCACCACAGUUUGUCUUGGCCAAAGACCUCGAACACGACAAACUGUUGCGCAUCGAAGAUAAAGCACAUUUCUUGGAAGAAAAAAAUUGUUAUAUAAAGAAGUGGGUAUGACUUCUUACUAAAAUUAUGCAAACGACGAAAAUGAUCACGUAUGUUAAAACAUUCAUAGCGGAUAUAAAUUAUAUUCUUUCUCUCUGUCAACUUUUCAGACGGACAAAGUUUAUUAACAUCGUAAAGUUAUAAGUGAAUAAACGAAUACUCGUAGCUUUUUAGUGAAUUAUCAAACGUCGUCUACAAAGGCUUAAGUGCUCAUUUUUUCAUAUAUUUAUAUGUACUUUUUUUAUAUUUAUUGUCUUCAGUUUAUUCGAAUAACAAAAUAUUUGUUCUAUUUAUGACAACCGAUACUGUUAAUCAAAUAAAAGUUUGGUAUUUAA
This is a long non-coding RNA of Bombyx mori (domestic silkworm), 2918 nucleotides long. RefSeq lists it as uncharacterized. Lineage: Eukaryota; Metazoa; Arthropoda; Insecta; Lepidoptera; Bombycidae. The transcript has 3 exons. The record is from RefSeq and is a predicted model, not a curated record.